Nerophis ophidion (straightnose pipefish) is the source of this 2111-nucleotide long non-coding RNA. RefSeq lists it as uncharacterized. The record is from RefSeq and is a predicted model, not a curated record. NCBI's taxonomy places the organism in Eukaryota, Metazoa, Chordata, Actinopteri, Syngnathiformes, Syngnathidae. The transcript is spliced from 3 exons.
CGAUGACGUCACACAGGAGGAAGAACAAAACAAGAUGGCGACUGGCGGAGAAUACGUUGUUUUGGUUAUUAUGGUUUCUAGGUCUUAAUUACAACGUACAUGUGCACGUGUGUGUCGUUUAACGCAGUAAACGUCCUUAUUAAUUGUUUGUAUGCGGAUACAUUAGUCUGAGUGCACUUUGACGUGCUAGCCUAGCCUGCUGGUUAGCUUAGCUUGUUAGCUGCUAACAAAGAGAGGCGGAAGUGAUCGACACAUCAAAGCAGAGAUCCAAUCCGCUUCAAACAGCUCUUCCUAGGGGAACCCGAGGCGUUCCCAAGCGAGCCAGUUUCUAACAUAAUAGUGAGAGUCCAGUCCAUGGUGGGGCCAGCCAGAGACCAUCCCGAGCGCAGACAGGUCAGCAACGCAGAGAUGUCCCCAACCGAUUAACAGACGUCUGUGAAGAACAUCUUCACCCUGAGCAACAGAAGUGGAGCUUCAGGAUGCAGACGGAGGAGCCACAGCCCUCCCACAUUAAGAAGGAAGAGGAAUACCUUCAGAUCCCCCAUUUUAAAGAGGAAGAGGAACACCCACUAAUCCCCAAAUUUAAAGCGGAAGCUGAGGAUCCACAGAGCCCUCACAUUAAGGAGGAAGAGGAAGAACACAGCAUCAGUCAGCAGGGAGAGCAUCUUGAAGGACUGGAGGAGGUUGAUGUCACCAAGAUGCCAGUGACUGGUGUCCCUGUGAAGAGUGAAGGUGAUGAGGUGAAAGGUGAAAGUGAGGAGAGGGGAGGGGGGGAGCCUCCAAGCAGCAGCUCAACACAACACAUGACAACAGAAGCUGAUGGAGACCACUGUGGAGGAUCACAAGCAGACAAGCUCUUAGCUCCACUAUCAGAUAGUGAGGACACAACGUCACACUCUCCUGACACUGAUGAUGAAGACUCUAAAGAUGAUAAGACAUGUCACACUGACAACACUCACUUCACAUCUUCUCACUGUCACAAAACUUUUAAAAACCAUAGUCAUCUGAAAAGACACAUGAGAAUACACACUGGAGAAAAACAUUUUAUCUGUUCAAUAUGUGGUAAAGGUAUUACACAAAGUUGGAGUUUGAAAGUGCACAUGAGAAUGCACAGUGGUAAAAAAACUUUUGUCUGUUCAACCUGUGGUAAAGGUUUUACACAAAGUACAGAUGUGAAAAUACACAUGAGAACACAUACUGGUGAAAAACCUUUUUCCUGUUCAACCUGUGGUAAAGGUUUUACAGAAAGUAAAAAUUUGAAAAGACACAUGAGAACACACACUGGUGAAAAAAAGAUUUUGUUCAAAGUAAACAUUUGAAAGUACACAUGAGAACACACACUGGUGAAAAACCUUUUCCUUGCUCAGAAUGUGGUAAAGGUUUUGUACAAAGUCCCCAUUUAAAAGUACACAUGAGAACACACACUGGUGAAAAACUGUUUUCCUGUUCAAUCUGUGGUAAAGGUUUUACACAAAGUCAUCAUUUGAAAGUACACGCAAGAAGACACACUGGUGAAAAACCUUUUUCCUGUUCAAUCUAUGGUAAAGGUUUUACAGAAAACUGGUGUUUGAAAGUACACAAGAGGACACACACUGGUGAAAAUUCACAUUCCUGUUCAAUCUGCAACAGAAGCUUUAGUGAACGAUCAAGCCUUGUAGCACACAUGAGAAGACACCCAGGAGAGAAAGUGUUGAGUUGCAGUGUGUGUGGUGAAAGAUUGUCUUCUAAGUACCAGUGUAAGAAACACAAGUGUGCUGGUGAGAACAGCAGCAGCAAAUGAAACUGCAGGAUUUGAAAUAAACUGUCCAGACUUUCAUUUUGACUUUCUAACAACAUCAGCACAUAUAACAUGUGUGACAUUGUUGUUUGUCUAACAAUCUGUUUAAUAUGCGCCUACAUUUAUAGAUUAGAUAUUUUAUAUUAAUGCUUUUUUUCAGUCAAGUACAUUCAUUAAUAUGCACCAUUGUGUACUUUUAUUAAAAAAUGGACGGAACAAUUUGAGUAAAAAGCUGAGAGUAAACAGUACAAUACACAUUUUACAUGCAAUAAACAUUUUGUGUGUAUGUAUACACACACACACACACACACACUCAUUUAUGUAUAUAUAUAUA